Molecule: ribosomal RNA, 689 nt
Filed under: Copidapha subcontigua
Lineage: Eukaryota; Metazoa; Arthropoda; Insecta; Diptera; Tabanidae
Description: eukaryotic LSU rRNA
Rfam family: Eukaryotic large subunit ribosomal RNA
Source: RNAcentral
AUGCCUCGUCAUCUAAUUAGUGACGCGCAUGAAUGGAUUAACGAGAUUCCUACUGUCCCUAUCUACUAUCUAGCGAAACCACAGCCAAGGGAACGGGCUUGGAAUAAUUAGCGGGGAAAGAAGACCCUGUUGAGCUUGACUCUAGUCUGGCAGUGUAAGGAGACAUAAGAGGUGUAGCAUAAGUGGGAGAUAUAUUAGUUUCGGCUAAAUAUAUCAAAAAUGAAAUACCACUACUCUUAUUGUUUCCUUACUUACUUGAUAAAAUGGAACGUGUAUCAUUCACUUAGCCAUUACACGGAUAUAUUUAUAUAUUUUAUGGUAUUUUGUUUUGAUGCGAGCUUCUUGUUUAAAGUACCAAGAGUUUGUUAUAUACACCAAACAAAUAUCAAUUAAAUUUGCUUUCCAUUAAUAAUGGUUUGUUAAAUAUUAAUUGAAUUUGGUAUAACUAUUAUACUCAGGUAUGAUCCAAUUCAAGGACAUUGCCAGGUGGGGAGUUUGACUGGGGCGGUACAUCUCUCAAAUAAUAACGGAGGUGUCCCAAGGCCAGCUCAGUGCGGACAGAAACCACACAUAGAGCAAAAGGGCAAAUGCUGACUUGAUCUCGGUGUUCAGUACAUACAGAGACAGCAAAAGCUCGGCCUAUCGAUCCUUUUGGUUUAAAGAGUUUUUAACAAGAGGUGUCAGAAAAG